GGAGUUUGAUCAUGGCUCAGAUUGAACGCUGGCGGCAGGCUUAACACAUGCAAGUCGAGCGGAAACGAUGGUAGCUUGCUAUCAGGCGUCGAGCGGCGGACGGGUGAGUAACGCGUAGGAACCUACCUAGUAGUUUGGGAUAGCCCAGAGAAAUUUGGAUUAAUACCGGAUACGCCCCACGGGGGAAAGCAGGGGAUCUUCGGACCUUGCGCUAUUAGAUGGGCCUGCGUGAGAUUAGCUAGUUGGUGGGGUAAUGGCCCACCAAGGCGACGAUCUCUAGCUGGUCUGAGAGGAUGAUCAGCCACACUGGAACUGAGACACGGUCCAGACUCCUACGGGAGGCAGCAGUGGGGAAUAUUGCACAAUGGGCGCAAGCCUGAUGCAGCCAUGCCGCGUGUGUGAAGAAGGCUCUAGGGUUGUAAAGCACUUUCAGCAGUGAGGAAAGCUUGUAGAUUAAUACUCUACAAGUGUGACGUUAACUGCAGAAGAAGCACCGGCUAACUCCGUGCCAGCAGCCGCG
This 520-nucleotide ribosomal RNA is filed under the name uncultured bacterium. Its description in RNAcentral is "bacterial SSU rRNA". It matches the Rfam family "Bacterial small subunit ribosomal RNA", at positions 9 to 519 of the family's 1533-position model. The record is from RNAcentral.